AACGAACGCUGGCGGCAUGCCUAACACAUGCAAGUCGAACGAGGCCUUCGGGUCUAGUGGCGCACGGGUGCGUAACGCGUGGGAGCCUGCCCUUAAGUUCGGAAUAACUCCCCGAAAGGGGUGCUAAUACCGGAUAAUGUCUUCGGACCAAAGAUUUAUCGCCUUUGGAUGGGCCCGCGUUGGAUUAGCUAGUUGGUAGGGUAAAAGCCUACCAAGGCGACGAUCCAUAGCUGGUCUGAGAGGAUGAUCAGCCACACUGGGACUGAGACACGGCCCAGACUCCUACGGGAGGCAGCAGUGGGGAAUAUUGGACAAUGGGCGAAAGCCUGAUCCAGCAAUGCCGCGUGAGUGAUGAAGGCCUUAGGGUUGUAAAGCUCUUUUACCCGGGAUGAUAAUGACAGUACCGGGAGAAUAAGCUCCGGCUAACUCCGUG
Molecule: ribosomal RNA, 433 nt
Filed under: uncultured bacterium
Lineage: Bacteria
Description: partial 16S ribosomal RNA
Rfam family: Bacterial small subunit ribosomal RNA
Source: RNAcentral